Molecule: long non-coding RNA, 765 nt
Filed under: Olea europaea subsp. europaea
Lineage: Eukaryota; Viridiplantae; Streptophyta; Magnoliopsida; Lamiales; Oleaceae
Source: RNAcentral
CUUGUGAAUUGUUCAUCAGAAUAAUUAAAGCAUAAGCAUGUAAGAACAAGUAAAUAACUUACAGUAAUCAAAUGGAAUAAACAGGCUUUCCCUCCAGUAUGCUCUUAUAGAUGCUUUGUAUGUACUUAAUCAAUCUUCUGAAUCAAGUAAAGGUUUAAAAUGUUUUUGAAAUUAUUUGGGUCCACAACUGCUUCCGCAAAAGGCUUUUCAAUUAAGGUUGCAUUUCUCACUCUAGAGAACUAGUCGUGUUUCCAUAGACGCUAUCUCACAGUAUCCAGAGUCUCUAUUUUCACCUCUAUCCACUCUUUUCAGAAUCAAGUUCUUACUUGGAACGAAAUUUUAAAAGAUAACUCACACACAAGGUGCUACAAUUUUGUUAGAAGACUGUCUUUUUCCCCUAAACCAUUCUACAAAGACGGGUACUUUGGCAUGGCUAACAUCCAUUCAAAAUUAAUGUUUUGAAAAUCUUUUAAAAUCUCUAUCUGUACUGCCAAGGAAUCAUGAGAAACUUAACGAAAUCUUUUUUAUGAAAGCUUUGUUGAACAUAACAAGCUUUACUUUGAUAUUCAUAAACUGAAAUUGUACAUGCUUACAAACUAUAUUUACAUACCUUUGGUACUCACCUUAUGAAGUUUAAAACUCCAUAAGUGAUUACCUUAUUACACGCUUUACUAUCUUCAAGCUAUCUAAUAUUUUUCUGAUAACAAGUGGUGUAAACAGAUUACAAAAGAUAUAUCUAAGAUGUGUUUCCUUCAAGUGUUUCAG